UCCGAGUUGACCCCGGCAGUCUCCCAUGAGUCCCCGGCAUCACCCGCUGGCAACAUGGAACAAGGGUUGCGCUCGUUGCGGGACUUAACCCAACAUCUCACGGCACGAGCUGACGACAGCCAUGCAGCACCUGUGCUAGCUCCCCGAAGGGUCCUUUGUCUUUCGACUCCGUACUACUAACAUGUCAAGCCUUGGUAAGGUUCUUCGCGUUGCAUCGAAUUAAACCACAUGAUCCACCGCUUGUGCGGGCCCCCGUCAAUUCCUUUGAGUUUCAACCUUGCGGCCGUACUCCCCAGGCGGCUCAUUUAAUGCGUUAGCGUCGGCACAGGAGGGGUCGAUACCUCCUAUACCUAAUGAGCAUCGUUUAUGGCUGGGACUAC
This 380-nucleotide unclassified non-coding RNA is filed under the name uncultured bacterium. RNAcentral's name for it is "contains 16S-23S intergenic spacer region". The record is from RNAcentral.